Molecule: ribosomal RNA, 464 nt
Filed under: uncultured bacterium
Lineage: Bacteria
Description: partial 16S ribosomal RNA
Rfam family: Bacterial small subunit ribosomal RNA
Source: RNAcentral
CUACGGGCCGCAGCAGUGGGGAAUAUUGCACAAUGGGCGCAAGCCUGAUGCAGCCAUGCCGCGUGUAUGAAGAAGGCCUUCGGGUUGUAAAGUACUUUCAGCGGGGAGGAAGGGAGUAAAGUUAAUACCUUUGCCCAUUGACGUUACCCGCAGAAGAAGCACCGGCUAACUCCGUGCCAGCAGCCGCGGUAAUACGGAGGGUGCAAGCGUUAAUCGGAAUUACUGGGCGUAAAGCGCACGCAGGCGGUGUGUUAAGUCAGAUGUGAAAUCCCCGGGCUCAACCUGGGAACUGCAUCUGAUACGGGCAAGCUGGAGUCUCGUAGAGGGGGGUAGAAUUCCAGGUGUAGCGGUGAAAUGCGUAGAGAUCUGGAGGAAUACCGGUGGCGAAGGCGGCCCCCUGGACGAAGACUGACGCUCAGGUGCGAAAGCGUGGGGAGCAAACAGGAUUAGAUACCCGGGUAGUC